GCCGAGGUGGUGGAACUGGUAGACACGCAGUCUUGAGGAGGCUGUGCUUUCGGGCAUGGAGGUUCGAGUCCUCUCCUCGGCACAA
RNAcentral lists this transfer RNA (85 nucleotides) under Candidatus Beckwithbacteria bacterium CG10_big_fil_rev_8_21_14_0_10_34_10. RNAcentral's name for it is "tRNA-Leu". It matches the Rfam family "tRNA". Rfam says of the family: Transfer RNA (tRNA) molecules are approximately 80 nucleotides in length. Their secondary structure includes four short double-helical elements and three loops (D, anti-codon, and T loops). The record is from RNAcentral. Lineage: Bacteria; Candidatus Beckwithiibacteriota.